UGAAGAAAAGGUGACUAGAACCGUUCUUGUCUCAUUUUCACUGGCUUUCCACGCUGAUAUCGCAACGAGUGAGUAUACAUCAUUUGGAAGAUUGGGUGCAACGUAUUGCCAACGAUGAAGAAGCUGUGUUGCAUUUUGUUCCAAGGUCCUGCCUACUGAGAAAACAGUCACAAUUGACGGAACAUGAACCAGCUUUAUUUUCCAUGAAAGAACGAUCCCGAAGCUUCCCCCUCCGCCUCCUCGAAUGGCCCAAAACAGAUCUUUCCCCAUCGAUCUUCUAUCAAGAACUCUCCCACUAGCAUCGACAAACUGCGCAUCGAUUACAUUAUCAGCCGCGAGACCGUAUUUUCGGGACAAUAAACCAUCGCCUCCACCACUAAUGAACCCACCCAUUCCUACAGUGUAGCCAAAAGCCCCUGGGAAGGUAAGUUUCGUGCUUCUCUCAUUGAUUCUGUAGUAUACUUGUUGAAGUAAUGGUCAGCAUGCAGCAACCAAGACUGUCAAAGGCACUACAUGCAGAAGCUGCUGGUUCACCUAGUCAGCAAGCUGUUUAUGUUUCAUUUUGUAAUUUUAAGUUAGAGUAAUGUAACUUAGUUGCUUUAUAACUAUGUUAGGUUUAUGUUUGAUGUAAUUUUGAUGUUGACUGAGCUGAUAAAUCAGCUUUGUUUGUUUACUCAAGCUAAUUAGCACAAGUUACUAUGUGUAUUAGUGGUAGUAGGUGAAGUUUAGGUCAACCUACUGUUUUGUCAAGAUUGUAAACUUGUUUUAUGUAUUGGCUUUGUGCCAUAUUUAGUUUGAUGAAUGAAUUCAAGAAGUUAUCAUCCAUAUGCUCUCCAUUUUUUAGUUUUACUUAAAAAUUCAUUUGAGUUUUCUGCUUUGUUUCUCCUACAAGUCACGAGACUUGCCAUACAAGCAUUCUGCUGAAGCUUGCUACUGCUGCCUCUUGCUCCAACAAUUGGUAUCUAGAGCCACAUUCUUAGAGGACCUGUUGUAGUUCAGUAUCAAAACAAUGGCAUCAUCAGGUUUUUCACCAGCUUCACCACCUGUCUUCAAUGGAGAGGGCUUCAACAUUUGGGCAGUUAAGAUGAGGACUUACCUGCAGGCAUUCGACCUAUGGGAAGUUGUUAACACAGAUGCUGAGCCAGCACCUCUUCGAGCUAAUCCAACAGUUGCUCAAAUAAGGCAACACACUGAUGAAAGGACAAAAAGGCACAAGGCCAUGUCAUGCAUACAGAAUUGUGUGACAGAUGUGAUCUUUAUGAGGAUCAUGGCCUGUGAGACACCAAAUGAGGCUUGGGACAAGCUGAAAGAAGAAUUUCAGGGGACUGAGAAAACAAGGCAACAACAGCUGCUCAAUUUGAGAAGAGAUUUCGAAAAUCUCAAAAUGAAAGAGGAAGAAAUAGUUAAGCAGUACUCAGACCGGAUUAUGGCUGUUGUAAACAGCAUAAGGCUCCUAGGAGAGCAAUUCAGUGAAGCUAGAAUGGUUGAGAAAGUCAUGUCCACUUUACCAGAGAGGUAUGAAGCUAAAAUUUCAUCCCUCGAAGACUCAAGGGACUUGACAACUAUCUCCUUAACUGAGCUAAUCAAUGCCUUGUAUGCACAAGAGCAAAGAAGAGCAAGCAGACAAGAGGAGCACCAGGAAGGGGCUUUUCAAGCCAAAGAAGCCUCGAGCAUCAAAACUCAUAAAGGCAAAAAGUUCUGGAAAAACAGGCCUAAGCCUGAUGCUGCUAGGAGCAGUGACCAACUCUGCAGACAUUGUAAAAGAGCUGGUCAUCCAGAAGAUAGAUGCUGGUUUAGACCAGAUGCAGUAUGCCAACACUGCAAGAAAAAAGGCCAUGUUGAAAAAGUUUGCAAGAAUAGAAGCAAACCAAGACAGAAUCAAUUUCAGCAACAAAAGGUGGAAGCUCGAGUAGCUGAAGAAAGCAGUGAUCAAGAAGAACAUGUUUUUGCUGUGUCAUGUGCAGCAAAUCAGAAGAAGGGUUCAAAGGGCUGGCUUCUAGACAGUGGGUGCACAAACCACAUGUCACCAGAUGCAACUAUCUUCAAAACCCUGGACAGAACCUGCAAAACCAAAGUAAAAAUUGGAAAUGGUCAGUUAAUCAAUGCUGAAGGAAGAGGAGAUGUGCUGAUUCAUACUCCUACAGGUGGCAAAAUCAUUUCAAAUGUACUUUUGGUACCUGAAAUCGAUAGGAACCUUCUCAGUAUAACUCAACUACUUGAGAAAGGUUACUCAGUUGUUUUCAAGGAGAAAGAAUGUCAAAUUUUUGAUCCAAGUGGAUCAAAUCCUAUAACAGUCACCAUGACUGAUAAAUGUUUUGAAGUAGACUGGCCAAAUGACUCACAUUCAGCCUGCAUAGCCUCCACUGAUGACUCGAGACUCUGGCAUCAGAGGCUUGGACAUGCAAACUACAAAUCCAUAGCCCGCAUGGUCAAUGAAGGUCUGGCAGAAAAUUUCAUUGAUUCAGUGAAGAAUGAUGAGCUUUGUGAGAUAUGUCAGCAAGGAAAAUUGGCAAGAUUGCCAUUUCCAACAAGCACAACAUGGAGAGCAUCAGAGAAGCUCCAGCUUGUGCAUACAGAUGUGUGUGGACCAAUGAAGACUGAGUCUCUCAAAGGAAGCAGGUACUUUAUUUUAUUUAUUGAUGACUUAACAAGAUACUGCUGGAUUUAUUUUCUAAAACAGAAAUCAGAAGUACCAUCUAUGUUCCUGAAGUAUAAGGCUGCUGUUGAAACUGAGUCUGGUUGCAAACUUAGAGCAAUGAGGUCAGAUAAUGGAACUGAGUACACCUCAGCUCAGUUCCAAGUCUACUGUGAAGAAGCAGGUAUCAAACACCAGUUGACUAAUGUGUAUACACCCCAACAGAAUGGGGUCAGUGAAAGGAAAAACAGAAGCUUGAUGAACAUGGCAAGAUGUCUUCUGUUUGAGAAGAAUUUGCCCAAAAGUCUGUGGGCUGAAGCUGUUAACACAGCAGUUUAUUUCCAAAACAGACUCCCAACCAAGGCUCUGGCUGAGAAGACUCCAUUUGAAGCCUGGUUUGGGUUUAAGCCAUCACUGGCUCAUCUCAGAACCUUUGGUUGUCUGUGCUAUACUCAAGUUCCAGCUGAGAAGAGAAGCAAGCUAGAUAAAAGAGCUCAAGCAGGGAUCCUGAUCGGCUACAGCUUGGUUAAGAAGGGCUACAGAAUUCUAGAACCUGCUACAAACAAGAUAUUGGUCAGCAGGGAUGUUGUUUUCAAUGAAAAAGGAUACUGGAAUUGGGAGAAGGCUAAACCAGAGGCAGUGGCUGAAGAUCUGGCAGUGGACCAAGUUGAAAAUGAUGAAAACACACCUGAAAUGGAUGUAGAUGAUGUUCCAAUCAGAGGCACUCGAUCACUGGCUGAUGUUUAUGAAAGAGCACAAGUGGCUACUGUUGAACCAAGUUGCUUUGAAGAAGCAGAAAACCAGGAGGACUGGAAGCAAGCAAUGAUUGAAGAAAUCAGAAUGAUUGAAAAGAAUCAGACCUGGAGUCUGGUUGAUAAACCAACAAACAGGAAGAUUAUUGGUGUCAAAUGGGUUUAUCGAGUAAAGAACAAUGCUGAUGGUAGCCUAAACAAGUUAAAGACUAGAUUGGUUGUGAAAGGCUUCAGUCAAAGGUAUGGAUCAGACUACCUGGAAACCUUUGCACCAGUGGCCAGGCUAGACACUAUUAGACUGCUAGUUGCUUUAGCAGCACAAAAACAGUGGCUGAUACACCAACUUGAUGUAAAAUCAGCAUUUCUGAAUGGAUUUCUUGAAGAGGAGAUUUAUGUGGAGCAACCUCAAGGUUUCAAGGUGUCUGGCAAAGAAGAUAUGGUGUACAAGCUCAACAAAGCCUUGUAUGGCUUGAAACAGGCUCCAAGGGCCUGGUAUAGCAGAAUAGAUGGCUAUCUGACCAGUCAAGGAUUUGAAAGAAGUCUUAGCGAGCCAACUCUGUAUGUUAAAUCAACUAGUGCUGAAACUCAGCUCAUUGUCUCAAUAUAUGUCGAUGACCUACUGGUGACAGGAGGAGAUCAUGAGAUGCUAAGCAGUUUUAAAGUUAAAAUGCAACAGCACUUUGAAAUGUCAGACUUGGGAUUGAUGUCUUACUUCUUAGGCAUGGAAGUAACUCAAGCUAAGAAUGGGAUUUGGCUAAGUCAAAAGACCUUUGCUAUGAAGGUUCUCAACAAAUUCUCAAUGGAGAAUUGCAAAGCAACCAGCACACCAGUUGCUGUUGGAGAAAAACUCUCGAGCCAAGACAAGCAUGAAAAGGUUUGUGAAACAACCUAUCGAAGUCUAGUUGGAUGUUUGUUGUAUUUGACUGCUACUAGACCUGACAUAAUGUAUGCUGCGAGUCUACUCUCGAGGUUUAUGCAUUCUUCAAAUGAAAGCCAUUUUAGAGCUGCAAAAAGGGUUCUAAGAUACAUCAAAGGAACUUUGUCCUAUGGAAUGCAGUUUACCAAGGCAGAGAACUUGAGGCUAGUUGGAUAUUGUGACAGUGAUUGGGCUGGUUCUUUGGAUGACAUGAAGAGCACUACAGGUUAUGCAUUCAACAUAGGCUCUGCUAUGAUAUGCUGGAGCUCAAAGAAGCAAGGAGUAGUGGCUCAGUCGACUGCAGAAGCAGAAUAUGUGGCUGCUGCUGCAGCAGUCAAUCAAGCCAUAUGGCUUAGAAAAAUUUUGAAAGAUAUCAAUCAUGAGCAAAAGGAAGCAACUGAGAUAAUGUGUGACAACCAAUCAGCAGUUGCUAUUGCAAAAAAUCCUGUUUUUCAUGGAAGGACCAAGCACUUCAACAUCAAACUUCAUGCAGUUCGGGAAAUGGAACAAGCUCAUGUUGUUAAGCUGAUACAUUGCAGUUCUGAAGAGCAAAUUGCUGAUAUUUUAACAAAAGCACUAAGUGUUUCCAAGUUUCAACACCUGAGAGCUAAUAUGGGAGUUUGCAACAUGCUAACCAAGGAGGAGUGUUGAAGUAAUGGUCAGCAUGCAGCAACCAAGACUGUCAAAGGCACUACAUGCAGAAGCUGCUGGUUCACCUAGUCAGCAAGCUGUUUAUGUUUCAUUUUGUAAUUUUAAGUUAGAGUAAUGUAACUUAGUUGCUUUAUAACUAUGUUAGGUUUAUGUUUGAUGUAAUUUUGAUGUUGACUGAGCUGAUAAAUCAGCUUUGUUUGUUUACUCAAGCUAAUUAGCACAAGUUACUAUGUGUAUUAGUGGUAGUAGGUGAAGUUUAGGUCAACCUACUGUUUUGUCAAGAUUGUAAACUUGUUUUAUGUAUUGGCUUUGUGCCAUAUUUAGUUUGAUGAAUGAAUUCAAGAAGUUAUCAUCCAUAUGCUCUCCAUUUUUUAGUUUUGCUUAAAAAUUCAUUUGAGUUUUCUGCUUUGUUUCUCCUACAAGUCACGAGACUUGCCAUACAAGCAUUCUGCUGAAGCUUGCUGCUGCUGCCUCUUGCUCCAACAAUACUUCACCCACGAUUGCACCUGAUUGAACCCACACCUCUUCGUUUUCGACAUCGACCUCGACCGAUUUAAAAUGAACCAAAUCGAUAACAACAAAUGGGACAUGGGAGACAUAGGAAAGACCUUCGUAGUCAUGACCACCACUUCGAGUUCUGAUUUGGAGGCCAUGCUUUUUGGAGCAACGAAUCGUUGCUUGAACAUGGGAAAUGUUCAAUGGUGUUACAAUAACCAAUGGUUUCGGGGUAUUUGGCGUUGAGAACCUGUGAUUCCUAAUGGAAGAUUCCAAAACUGGCGAAUAUGAUGAGUUUGUUUCAGUGUAGGUAACUUUAGAAAUGGAAGAGGAUUCAUCGGGAUGAUAUGAAGAAAGGCAAUCAAGAAAAUUAUCAUGGCUUUUAGCUGAAACAUUCACCCAUGACAAUGAGCAAACAACAACGAAAAGCAAUGGCAAAGAACGGUAAAGGGACUUCAUGUUUUAUGAAACUGAUGACUUUGCGAAGAUUUCAAUUAGAUAUUUCCUUAUUUAUAGAGACAAUGCUUUGAGCCGCCAUGUGAAGAAAACUGAAGUUUCUUAGCUGGCGUGAGCGGUAUAAGUUUGACACGGAAAACGCAUGUAUUUGAAGUCAACUGAAGUCAACUGUCGACUGUUAUAUUCGGAAAAGCUAUACAUAUAGAUGGAAAAUUAAAUCUUUGACUAAUUAUAGCAUACGUGCUCUGAAUGUUCACGCAUCGUAGUACUAUUGGGUUUCGUGUAAUGAUAAUAUGGGAAGAAACUUGGGACAAGGUGGAUUUAAAUGAGUUGAAAGUUCCUUUUUUGUUAUGUUAUGGAUGAACUUUGGUCGAAAUUUUAAACGAAAAAAGAAAAUUCGUGAUGAGAUUGAAGGGUAAGAAAAUAAGAAAGAUAUUUUGCUUUUUCAUGGUCUCAAGAACUAGUUCUUCAAAUUUAAAAAUAAUAGAAUCUAAAAAUGAAAUAUAAAAAAGUGGAUUAAUUCUUUUUAAUGUGGUUUUUUUAUAAUUUAAAUUAUAGUAGAAAUGAAACAAUUUUAUAAAACAUAAAUAUGGUAUAAUCGAAAUCAAACAAUUUUUUGAAACAUACAUAUGGCUUCGUCUGCACUUCAUGGUGCCUGUUUCCCUGGCCCUUAUAAAAUUUUAAGGUAAAUUACCCCAUAGUAAUAAAAAAUAUAGGUUAUUUUUAUUUGUAUUAGUCAAAUUUUCUUUAUUAAUUUAAUCACUAUGGUUAAUUAAAUUGACCAAAUUGAUCACUCCACCAUUAAAUUCACUAUUUCAUCAAUUAAAUUGAUCAAAUCGAUCCCUCCUCCAUUAAAUUCACUAUUUCAUUGUUAAAUUCAUUUAUUUUUAUUUCAUAAUUUUUUAUUAUUUUUCCCUCUCCUUAGAAUGAUGUUAUGUUUAUAUGUAUUUGAAUUAUAACCUAUGAUACUAUGAUGAAUACAAUAUUGAUCUGUACUUUAAUAAUGAUUAAUAACAAGAAAGCAGUGUCGAAUAGGGUUACAAGUAUAAUUAACAUGUUAUAAGGUUAGAUAUAUUUGAGUUUAUUAGCACUAGGCACACUUUGAUUUACUCUCGUACUCUCAGACAGUGAGAGAGUUUUCUAAUUCCCAGAGGGUCGAGUACAAAAUAUCUGCUCCAAUUCCUAUAGGGCUGUGAGCAUAUAUUGGUAUAUUAAUCCAUGUACUUGUCCUUGAAUCCAAAAUCGGUUAAUAGAAGCAAAAGAAUGAAAAUGAUAUGUGAUUAUAAUGUAAAGUGUUACGUGAUUGUAUAUGAAAUUGAUAUAUGGCCAAACUAUGAUAACUAAACUUGGUUAUUGAUACAUGGAAAUCAAAUGCAAAUUUCUUGAGGGUACAUCAGUACUUUGUGAUUCUAAUAAUGAAAUGAUAUGAUGAAAAUGAGAUACUAUGUACACGAUGUGUAAACUUUGAGAAAGUUGUAAGCCAGAAUACCCUGAGGGAGGCAUGAUACAAUGAUCCAUUUACAUUGGGUUAUUGUUGAGUGUGGUACUUAAUUGAUGAUAUGUUCUAAUGUUUAAGUUAUGUUUUCAUUACUUAAAAUUAUUAUGCUUUGAAAAAAUCAUAUUAGUAUCACUAAGCUUGCAAUGCUCAACAUGCGGAUGCGUUUGUUUUCAUGCAUCGAUGAUCAACAGAUACUUUGAUACAUUGUGGGACUUUGGACACAUCCUAAGCCUUGCAAUCCUCUUUAUCGAUAUGGCGCCCUCCUUCGCAAGGCUGCAUGAAGUCCAAUGUAUGCGGGAUAGCAAAUGAGGAAGUUGCAGGUUGUAGUGGAGUACUAAGAGAUAAUGAGGGUGCUGCAAGAGCUUUAUUUUAGGGUCCUAUUGCAGCUAAUGAUACAGUUUCAACAGGGGCAGGGGUGGUGUUUAUAGCAUUGGAUUGUUCUUAUCCAUGGGAUGGAAGAUUAAUGGUUAUCUUAUUGUAGAAAUUGGUUCAAAAAUGGUGUACAAUUGCUGUCUAAACAAAGAUAUGAGACCGUGGUCGUUACAAACUGUUAAAAAUACAAUAUCAGUAAUGACAAUAUAUAGCAAAGAAAAUAGAAAUAGAAAAAUAAAGAACACACAGAUUUUACGUGGAAACCCUUUCGGGAAAAAAAACCACGGGCAGAGGAGGAGAAAAUUCACUAUGUCAAAUUUAAAUCAAUUACAAGAGGAGUAGGCUAUGCCUAUUUAUAGGCUUGUAAACCUUAUUCUAAUAGGAGUGAAACUCCUUAUUCUAAUAAUAUCAAAUAGAUGGAGUUUAAUAAGGUUUAAAAAACCUUAUUCUAAAUAAAAUAAAAGAAGUACAAUUCUAUAGGGAUUUUACUUUUAUUUUAUUUUACCAUAGUAUUUAAUUUAAAUAAGGAUUUGUGUCACUUAAUUCUAACAAUAUCCACCUUGACAUGAAUUCUUAAUGAACAAGUUCUUCAUCGCGAACUCUCAACUAACAAGUUUCUCCACCUCUUCCAUAAACACCCCUUAAGGGUUUAUUUUCAACAAUGAACACCAACCAAGUCUAAGCAGUGCUCAAACUUGGUUAUAGGAAGUGACUUAGUCAUCAUAUCUGUAGGAUUUUCAUGAGUACUAAUUUUGCUCACAACAAUAUCACCACGAGCAAUAAUAUCACGAACAAAAUGAUACCGAACAUCAAUGUGUUUUGUUCUCUCAUGAAACAUUUGAUCUUUUGUAAGGAAGAUGGCACUCUUACUAUCACAAAAUACUGUUUUGAUUUGAAGGUCUUCAUUGAGUUCACUAAAGAGCCCCUUCAACCAAAUAGCUUCUUUACAAGCCUCAGUAAUCGCCAUGUACUCAGCUUCAGUGGUAGACAAAGCGACUGUAAUUUGCAAAGUGGCUUUCCAACUGAUUGCACAACCUCUGAUUGUAAAGACAUAACCUGUGAGAGAUCUUCUUCUAUCGAGGUCUCCAGCAAACUGAGCAUCAACAUACCCAAUGACUCCAUCUCUAGUUCUUCCAAACUGUAAGCAAACAUUGAUAGUACCUCGUAAGUAUCUUAAAACCCACUGAACUGCUUUCCAAUGUUCUUUACUGGGAUUCGCCAUGUAUCUGCUAACUGCACUAAUUGCAUAUGAUAAAUCUGGACGUGAACAAACCAUGGCAUACAUGAGAGAUCCUACUGCACUAGAGUAUGGAACAUGUGACAUGUACUCAAUCUCAUCAUCUGAUUGUGGAGACAAAGCCGAUGAAAGUCUGAAAUGGGCUGCUAAAAGAGUACUAACAGGCUUAGCAUUCUGCAUAUUGAAUCUGGAAAGAACUUUCUCAAUGUACCCUUUCUGACUUAGGUACAAUUUACUUGCUUUUCUAUCCCUGAGAAUCUCCAUACCAAGUAUCUUCUUUGCUGGUCCCAAGUCUUUCAUCUCAAAUUCUUCACUUAGUUGAGCUUUGACCUUUCUUAUCUCUCAUUUAUCUUUCGCUGCUAUCAACAUGUCAUUAACAUAAAGGAGUAGAUACACAAAAGAACCAUCACUGUUUUUCUUAAAGUAAAAACAACUGUCAAAGCUACUUUUUUUAAAAUCAUGAGAAGUCAUAAAUGAAUCAAACCUCUUAUACCACUGUCUUGGUGACUGUUUCAAACAGUAAAGGGACUUUUUCAGCAAGCAAACAUAGUCCUCUUUUUCUGAGACUGUAAAACCUUCUGGUUGUUGCAUGUAAAUAUCCUCUUCAAGUUCUCUAUGCAAAAAUGCAGUUUUUAUAUCUAACUGUUCAAGCUCUAAAUCAUGCAUGGCCACAAUACCAAGCAAAGCUCGAAUCGAACUAUGCUUCACAACUGGAGAGAACACAUCUAUGAAAUCCACUCCUGGAAUUUGACUGUAACCCUUUGCAACAAGCCUUGCUCUAUAUCUGGGUUCUUCAACUCUUGGAGUCCCCUCUUUCUUUUUAAACACCCAUUUACAACGAACAACCUUUUUACCUUUGGGAAGUUUCACAAGAUCCCAUGUUUUGUUUUUGUGGAGUGAUUUCAUCUCCUCUUGCAUAGCAAACAUCCACUUUUCUGAAUCUUCACAACUAACCGCCUCAGAAUAAUUAGAUGGCUCUUGGUUUGCAUCUAUAUCUUCAGCCACAUUUAAACCAUAAGCAACUAGAUCAGCCUCGGCAUACUUCUUUGGAGGUUUAAUUUCUCUUCUAGUUCUGUUUUUGGCGAUAGAGUAUUGUGGUGAAAAAGUAACUCUAUUUUGAAUUUUCGUACUGGCUUUAGUAGUUGACUCUGGUGUAGAUUCUAGAUUAACCUAAUGUUCCACCUGCUUUUGAUUUUGUUUAUUGGAAGAGUCUUUAAGAGAUAAGUUAGGUAGCAUAGCAGUUUCAUCAAAAACAACAUCUCUGCUAAUCACAACUUUUCUAUUUUCAGGACACCAUAACUUAUACCCUUUUACACCAGCUUUAUAACCAAGAAACAUACAUUUAAUAGAUCUCGGUUCCAAUUUUCCAUUAUCAACAUGAGCAUACGCAGGACAACUAAAGAUCUUUAAAUCAGAAUAGUCAGCAAGAUUACCAGACCAUACCUCUUGUGGAGUCUUUUUCUCAAUGGCAACGGAUGGAGAUCGGUUGAUCAAAAAACAUGCUGUAGAGGCUACUUCUGCCCAAAAUUACUUUGAUAAGUUGGCAUUAGAUAACAUACAUUGAACUUUCUCCAUGAUCGUUCUGUUCAUUCAUUCUGCAAUGCCGUUUUGCUGUGGAGUAUGACGAACUGUCAAGUGUCUCACAAUCCCUUCUGACUUGCACAGUUUAUUAAAUUCAUCAAAACAGAACUCUAAGCCAUUGUCUGUGCGGAGGUAUUUUAUUUGCUUUCUCGUCUAUUUUUCAAUUAUGGUUUUCCAAGACUUAAAUGAGGAAAACACAUCACUUUUCUGGAAAAUCAUCAAUAAAAGUUAGCAUAUAAUUAGCUCCACCUCUCGGAGGCACUCUGGAUGGCCCCUACAGAUCAGAAUGAAUAUACUCUAAUUUUCCCUUCGUGUUAUGGAUUCCUCUAGUGAAUCGAACUCUCUUUUGCUUCCCAAAAAUGCAGUGCUCACAGAAUUUCAGUUUGCAAAUUCCUUGCCCAUUAAGAAGUCCUCUUUUGCUCAAUUCUGCCAUGCCAUUCUCACUCAUAUGCCCUAGGCGCAUAUGCCAAAGUUUAGUAAUAUCAUCAUCUGACAAGGAAGAGGAUGAGACAGCUGCAUCACUAGUAACAGUAGAACCCUACAAAACAUAUAACUUAGCAGUCUUUCUCUGCCCUUUCAUCACAAUAAGGGAACCUUUGGAAAUCUUCAAAACCUCACUUUCAGCUGUGUAUUUUUACCCUUUUGAAUCAAGAUUACUCAACAAAAUUAAAUUUCUUUUUAAUUCUGGAACAUGUCGUAUAUCACUGAGUGUUCUGAGAACUCCAUCAAACAUCUUAACUCUGAUUGUUCCAACACCUGCAAUUCUACAUGAAGCAUUAUUUCCCAUCAACACAAUACCUUCAGACACUAUUUCGUAAGUUGUAAACCAAUCCCGAUUGGGACUCAUGUGGAAGGUGCAACCUGAAUCAAGGAUCCACUCCUUGCUCACUUUGGAAUUAUCGACAGAAGCGACUAGAAGUUCACCAUCGCUGUAAUCUUCUACAACAUCAGCUUUACCAGAAUUUUCUAGUUGUUUUCCAUUUUGAUUCACAGCCUCCCUUUUGAUCUUAUUCUGUAGCUUAUAGCACUUAGUUUUAAUGUGCCCUUUCUUCUUGCAAAAGUUACAAGUUUUACCUCUAUUUGAAGACUUUGAUCUACUCUUAGAUUUACUGCGAGGAUUUCAUUCCUGUGUCCUCCCACGAUCAUCAUCAGCAUUCUGAUCUUGUCUCCCACGAACAAUAAGACCCUCUCUUUGAGAGUCGAUUUUAACCACAAGAUGCUUCAUCUUAUCAUACGAGGUUAAAGAAUCAUAAACCUCAUCAACUGUGAAAGACUCGCGGCUAUAUAAAAUCGUAUCUCUAAAGGAUGAAUAAGACGGGGGCAACGAACAAAGUAGAAUCAACCUUAAAUCUUCCUUAUCAUACUGAACCUCCAUGGCCUCCAAGUUUGAGAGAAUUUGUUUGAACACUGUUAAGUGUUCGUGCACAGAUGCACCUUCCUCCAAACGAUGAGCAUAAAGACGCUGCUUCAUAUGUAGCUUGCUAGUUAGAGUUUUCGACAUAUAUAUCUGUUCCAACCUCUUCCAUAAUCCAGCGGCAGUCUUUUCCUUCAUCACAUUCUAUAAAAUUUCGUUAGACAAAUGCAGAUGUAACUGUGUUAAUGCCUUUCGAUCCUUGCGCUUCUUCUCUUUUUCCGUCAAUGUUGAAGGCAUCUUAUCUACCCCUAGUAGGGCUUCCUCUAAGUCCAUCUUUGCAAGAAUUGCUUGCAUCUUUAUUUGCCACAACGCAAAUCUGGUGUUGCGAUCCAACAGCGAAAUUUCGUACUUCAAAGACGCCAUUACCGUGAUUGAGAUGAACAAGCCGGAAGCUCUGAUACCAAUUUGUUAAAAAUAUAAUAUCGGUAAUGACAAUAUAUAGCAAAGAAAAUAGAAAUAGAAAAAUAAAGAACACACAAAUUUUACGUGGAAACCCUUUUGGGAAAAAAAACCACGGGCAGAGGAGGAGAAAAUUCACUAUGUCAAAUUCAAAUCAAUUACAAGAGGAGUAGACUAUGCCUAUUUAUAGGCUUGUAAACCUUAUUCUAAUAGGAGUGAAACUCCUUAUUCUAAUAAUAUCAAAUAGAUGGAGUUUAAUAAGGUUUAAAAAACCUUAUUCUAAAAUAAAAUAAAAGAAGUAUAAUUCUAUAGGGAUUUUACUUUUAUUUUAUUUUACCACAGUAUUUAAUUUAAAUAAGGAUUUGUGUCACUUAAUUCUAACACAAACAAUAUUUUCAGAUAUUGAGAGGAAAAUUGAGCAGGUGAGUAGUGUAGUAUUCUUGAUGGCAUAUCAGAAGGUAAUGAAAUGGCUUCAACUUUGGCAAUAGCAAGUAUUAAUCAUGGUGACAUGUUUAGACCUUGGUGGUGAGUGUUAGCUUUGAUGUCGAGUAUUUGUUUUUCAAUUAUAGGAAAUGUUUCAUUGUGGUAUUUAUAAGUAGUUCCUUUGAAUGAUGUUCUUGUUGUAUUUACAACAGAUCAAUCUGAAUGAAGCAAAAAAAAAAAAUCUCACCAGUCUUUAGAAUUUCUUCAAAUGAAGAAAUUCAUGAGAAAUGAGUUACAGUUUAAAGUUAUUUAUAUAAUAAUAAUAUAUUAUAUGAAUGAGAAAAAUAAUAAUAUUUAAAACAAUGAGGUAGUCAUUCAAAGAUCAUUCAAAACUUUACUCCCCUUUGCAAAUGAACGAUGUUGAUUCUAAUACAGUACUAAGACGUUGGCUGACAUUCAUACUAAUACGUCGGCAUCCAAUCACCAUAACUAAAAUUUUGUUUAAAAUGCAAGUUUAUUACAAUUCAUUCUAAUACAGUAAUAAGAUGUUGGAAUUUGUACCAAGACAUUGACAUCCAAUGGCAAUAACUGCUUCAAAACGCAAGUUUAUUUUUCGAAUACAAUUUUGGCAGCAGUACUAAGAGGUGUGCUUUGUUGAUGCUUUUGGCAAGACUAAUUUUUAUUAGAUGCUUUGGCAAAGGUUGGAGUAGAUACAGUAUUUAUUAUUCAUCAUAAUAUGAAGAACAAGUUUAUUCUAAACAAAAACUUUAAGGUAAAAUGUAUUACUAAGUAUACAUCAUAAUAAUGAACGAGAUUAAAAUUUCUUCUUUUAUCAAUGAAAAUGAGGAGGAAUACUUUGUUCAUGCUUGAAGAAAUUUUCUGGAUCAAUCUUUGUCUUGACAGAAACUAAUCUAUCAAAAUUAUUCUUAAAAUAUUUACGGCCCCACACGCUUGCUUGCUUAUAACUUGCCUUGCCAUCAUCAUUAUUUCUUCCAAUAUCGAGAUCUCUGUAAUUAACAUACGCUGCUCGUGGAGAUUUUGAAACAAAAGGACCCAUGUAGCUAUAAAGUUUCCUCAUCCAGCUUAUAUACCUUUGAGAUCUAAUGUUUUCCUCUUCUUGCCAACCGAUGUUGUAGUGUAUCUUGUAUAAGGUGCCUUUUCGAUGGGGGAAUGGAGUUUCUGUCUCUGAGAUCUCGUCCAUCAUUCCACCGUAAGCUAUAAAAGUUUGAACUGCUGAGAUUGCUUCGUCGACCUCGAGAAGUUGGGGCCAUAGCCCUUGUAAUGCUAUUUCAGGCACCGGUUCAUUCACGUAAUCAGAUUUUGAUUUGAAUGAAGGAGGAAGAAGGGACCUAUUCCUUUCGAGCAAAGCCUCCGAUGUUUCAUUUGAAAGUCCGUUUAUGAACAAUACAGAUUCAAUCCAAGUCAUCUCAAUGAAAUCUUCCUUAACAAGCCCAAGCUCAGGGAAUCGUUCUUGCAUCAAUGGAAUCAGCUCAUUGGCACCACCUUGGAAUACUGAAGUAAAGGUGACUAGAACCGUCCUUGUUUCAUUUUCACUGGCUUUCCACGCUGAUAUCGCAACUAGUGAGUAUACAUCAUUUGGAAGAUUGGGUGCAACGUAUUGCCAACGAUGAAGAAGCUGUGUUGCAUUUUGUUCCAAGGUCCUGCCUACUGAGAAAACAGUCACAAUUGACGGAACAUGAACCAGCUUUAUUUUCCAUGAAAGAACGAUCCCGAAGCUUCCCCCUCCGCCUCCUCGAACGGCCCAAAACAGAUCUUCCCCCAUCGAUCUUCUAUCAAGAACUCUCCCACUAGCAUCGACAAACUGCGCAUCGAUUACAUUAUCCGCCGCGAGACCGUAUUUUCGGGACAAUAAACCAUCGCCUCCACCGCUAAUGAACCCACCAAUUCCUACAGUGUAGCCAUGAGCCCCUGGGAAGGUAAGGUUCGUGCUUCUUUCAUUGAUUCUGUAGUAUACUUCACCCACGAUUGCACCUGAUUGAACCCACACCUCUUCGUUUUCGACAUCGACCUCGACCGAUUUAAAAUGAACCAAAUCGAUAACAACAAAUGGGACAUGGGAGACAUAGGAAAGACCUUCGUAGUCAUGACCACCACUUCGAGUUCUGAUUUGGAGGCCAUGCUUUUUGGAGCAACGAAUCGUUGCUUGAACAUGGGUAAUGUUCAAUGGUGUUACAAUAACCAAUGGUUUCGGGGUAUUUGGCGUUGAGAACCUGUGAUUCCUAAUGGAAGAUUCCAAAACUGCCGAAUAUGAUGAGUUUGUUUCAGUGUAAGUAACUUUAGAAAUGGAAGAGGAUUGAUCGGGAUGAUAUGAAGAAAGGCAAUCAAGAAAAUCAUCAUGGCUGUUAGCUGAAACAUUAACCCAUGACAAUGAGCAAACAACAACGAAAAGCAAUGGCAAAGAACGGUAAAGGGACUUCAUGUUUUAUGAAACUGAUGACUUUGCGAAGAUUUCAAUUAGAUAUUUCCUUAUUUAUAGAGACAAUGCUUUGAGCCGUCAUGUGAAGAAAACUGAAGUUUCUUAGCUGGCGUGAGCGGUAUAAGUUUGACACGGAAAAAGCGUGUAUUUGAAGUCAACUGUCGACUGUUGUAUUCGGAAAAGCUAUACAUAUAGAUGGAAAAUUAAAUCUUUGACUAAUUAUAGCAUACGUGCUCUGAAUGUUCACGCAUCGUAGUACUAUUGGGUUUCGUGUAAUGAUAAUAUGGGAAGAAACUUGGGACAAGGUGGAUUUAAAUGAGUUGAAAGUUCCUUUUUUGUUAUGUUAUGGAUGAACUUUGGUCGAAAUUUUAAACGAAAAAAGAAAAUUCGUGAUGAGAUUGAAGGGUAAGAAAAUAAGAAAGAUAUUUUGCUUUUUCAUGGUCUCAAGAACUAGUUCUUCAAAUUUGAAAAUAAUAGAAUCUAAAAAUGAAAUAUAAAAAAGUGGAUUAAUUCUUUUUAAUGUGAUUUUUUUUAUAAUUUAAAUUAUAGUAGAAAUGAAACAAUUUUAGAAAACAUAAAUAUGGUAUAAUCGAAAUCAAACAAUUUUAUGAAACAUACAUAUAUGGCUUCGCCUGCCCUUAAUGGUGCCUCUCUCCCUGGCCCUUAUAAAAUUUUAAGGUAAAUUACCCCUUAGUAAUUAAAAAUUUAGGUUAUUUUUAUUUGUAUUAGUCAAAUUUUCUGUAUUAAAUUUAUCACUAUGGUUAAUUAAAUUGAUCAAAUUGAUCAUUCCACCAUUACAUUCACUAUUUCAUCAAUUAAAUUGAUCAAAUCGAUCUCUCCACCAUUAAAUUCACUAUUUCAUCGUUAAAUCCAUUUAUUUUUAUUUCAGAAUUUGUUUUUGUUUUUCCCUUUCCUUAGAAUGAUGUUAUGUUUAUAUGUAUUUGAAUUAUAACCUAUGAUACUAUGAUGAAUACAAUAUUGAUUUGUACUUUAAUAAUGAUUAAUAACAAGAAAGCAGUGUCGAAUAGGGUUACAAGUAUAAUUAACAUGUUAUAAGGUUAGAUAUAUUUGAGUUUAUUAGCACUAGGCGCACUUUGAUUUACUCUUGUACUCUCAGAGAGUGAGAGAGUUUUCUAAUUCCUAAAGGGUCGAGUACAAAAUAUCUCCUCCAAUUCCUAUAGGGUCGUGAGCAUAUAUUGGUAUAUUGAUCCAUGUACUUGUCCUUGAAUCCAAAAUCGGUUAAUAGGAGCAAAAGAAUGAAAAUGAUAUGAGAUUAUAAUGUAAAGUGUUAUGUGAUUGUAUAUGAAAUUGAUAUAUGGCCAAACUAUGAUAACUAAACUUGGUUAUUGAUACAUGAAAAGCAGAUGCAAAUUUCUUGAGGAUACAUCAGUACUUUGGGAUUCGAAUAAUGAAAUGGUAUGAUGAAAAUGAGAUACUAUGUACACGAUGUGUAAACUUUGAGAAAGUUGUAAGCCAGAAUACCCUAAGGGAGGCAUGAUACAAUGAUCCAUUUAUAUUGGGUUAUUGUUGAGUGUGGUACUUAAUUGUUGAUAUGUUCUAAUGUUUAAGUUAUGUUUUCAUUACUUAAAAUUAUUAUGCUUUGAACAAAUCAUAUUAGUAUCACUAAGCUUGCAAUGCUCAACAUGCGGAUGCGUUUGUUUUCAUGCAUCGAUGAUCAACAGAUACUUUGAUACAUUGUGGGACUUUGGACACAUCCUAAGCCUUGCAACCCAACUCAGACAAUGUUUGUACUCUUUUGUCUAUAGGUUGUUAAUGUCAUUAUGGGUCUUAUAUGCUAUUUUGUCUACUUUGGUAGACUUGGAUAUAUUUUGGACCUAGAAGGGUCCUAAAGUUGAGUUUUGAAUCUUGAUCAUGAUGAAUUUAUAUAUGUUAAUAUGUGUAUAACUUUUUAUAUGUUCAUGUGUUGGUAUGAUGCAUUAGAAGCUAUAUAUGGAUUUGCAUGUUUUAAAUGUGUUUAUGAUGGUUUAAUUUAUGUAUAUUGAUUGAUAUUAUGUUUUUAACAGCCUAAUUUUGACUCUAAUCGGACAAAGUGGUUUUAGGACCACAAAUUCGAGUCAGAAAAAUAUUUUAAUGUUAUUUUUAGUAUUUGCAGUAUGUGAAUUAAUAUGUGUGAAAAUUUCGUAUGAAAAUUUGAUCGUUUGAGAGCUCAAUUUGAUAAAAUGACUUAAUUGCGUAAAAUAAAAAUUUAGGGGUCAAAUCUAAAAGUACUCAAUUGUUGUUGUCUUUUAAAAAUAGGGGUCUUAAAUGGCAAUUAGGCCAUUUAAAUGAUAGUAGGUGACUAUGGACAACUUUAUCCUUAUGUUAUAUGAAAUAUAAAUUAUUUAAUAAAGGUUAAUAAGGUAAAUAAAUAAAAUACUAAUAUAUGUUAAUUAAAAAAGUAAAAACUCAAUUGUUAUCAUCUAUGUUUAGCUCGAUUUUUGAUAAUUUUUACGUUUUUGAGAUCAUUGCUAUGAAUACUUCAAAACACAAGUCUUAUUUUUGUGAAUUGUUGAUGAUUUUGAAAUGUGCCAUUGAUGAAUGCUUAAGCUUUGUGAUAGUUGAUGGUGAAAAAUGAAAGAUAUGUGAAAGAUUAACAUGCUUUGUCUUUGAAUUUUUGGUGAAAUUGAGUAAUUAGGGCUAAAUUGUGAAAUUAAAUUUUUGAGGGACUAAAAAGUGAAAUAAAUAAUAUGUGUGGACUUUUAUAAGCACUAGGUACAUUCAGCCCUUGUAUAGUGUGGAAAAAUUUUGUGUAUUUUGUGUUUUAUGUAAUAGGGACUAAAUUGCAAAAAGUGUAAAUGUUAGGGGCAAAAUAGUAAUUUUCCCAUUUAUGUGUUUUUGGACUAAAUUGAAUGUGAUAAUAUUUAAACUAGCUCAUUUUGAAUAUAUUUAGAUCAAGAACCAAAGAAAUCAGAGUUGGAUCAGGGAAAAGCUAAAGCCGUCGACUAAUCAUCCGGUUUCGAUUUUACAUUAUCCGAGGUAAGUCUAUUAGCAAUUUAAAGUUAUUAAGUUAAUAUUUAUACAUGUAUACUAAUUGUAUUUUGUGUUGAGCUAUAAUUGAAAGUAUAUUGAUUGAAUAAAUUUUGAAGUAUGGAUGAUAUUUAUAUAUAUAGCAUGUUCAAAUAUACAAGUAUAAUCUUGUAUAAAUUUAUGGGUUGAAAUAAAGGUAAGAAAUGUAUAUAAGUAUUUUUGAUAUUCGAAUAAGCAUGUAUAUAUAUAUAUAUGUAAAUUUCUUGUAUUGAAUUUAGGUAAGAAAGUUAUAUAUGCAUAUGUUAGAUUCGAAUAUAUAAGUAAAUACAUGAACAAGUCUUGAAUUUAGAAAAAAGGUAUGAGGAUGUAUAUAUGUAUAUGUAUAUAUAAAUAUGUAUAUAAUGCUCGAAUAUUUAUACAUAUAUAUAUUGUAUAUGUAUGAAUUCUUGGUUUUAAUCAAAGGUAUGUAUAACAUAUAUAUAUUAGGUUCGAAUAUAUAUAUUUAUAUAUAUAGGUAUAUACAUGUAUAAACUCUUGGAUUUGAUUAAAGAUAUGUAACUCAUGAUUGUAUAUGUAGUUUCAAAUAGGUAUGUAUAUGUGAGUUGUAAUUUAUAUGCAUAUAUGCUAUAUUUGAAUGAGCAUACUUACAUAUAUGUAUAUAUUCUUUUAUUGAAUUUAGGAAGGACAUUUAUAUAAGUUUAUAUGAGAUUCGAUUAUGCAGGUAUACAUGUAUAUGUUCUUGUAAUGAAUUUAAGUAUGAAAUUUAUAUAUGUAUAUGGAAGAUCCGAUUAUGUAUAUAUAUUCAUGUAAAAGUUUUUGAAUGUAAUUAAAGGUAUGAAAUUAUUAGUUUGGAUCAUUAUAAGGUGAUCUAAUGUUUCAGAGUACUUUACAUCUAGCAAGUUUGAUGCUGGUGAAAUAUUUCAGACUUUAUGUCUAGUAGGCUUAAUGCCGGUGAAACAAUUCGGACUAUAAGUCUAGCAGGCUAAAAGCCAGUGUACUGAAUCAGGUUUUAAAACCUAGCAGGCUAAGUGCCGGUGAAUCUGUUUAUAUAAUGUGUUUAAAUAUGAUGGAUAUGCAUAUGAAUUAUGUCAUAUGUAUUUGAAGAACAUGUAUAUCCUUUCGGUGAUAAUACUUGUUAGGCAUAUGUAUAUAUGCAUUCAGCUAUUCAAGUUUAAAGUGUAUAUAUAUUCGGUGAUAAUAUUUGUUAUGUGUAUAAGCAUUCGGUUAUUCAUGUUUAAAGUGUAUAUACAUUCGAUGAUAAUAUUUUUUAAGCAUAUAUGUAUAUACACAUUCGGCUAUUCAUGUUUUAAACUGUAUAUGCAUUUGGUUUUAAGUGUUGAUAAUUAAGUAUGCAUUUGACUAUAUAUAAAUUAUAUGUAAAUGUAUUUGGUUAUAAGAUUUUGAUGAGUAUUUAUAUAUACAAUUGGUUGUAUGCAUGUUGUUUAUAUAUAUAUAUGUACUCAUUGAUAUGAAUUCUAUGAUUUCAUAUAUUUGGUUAUAAAUAAGAUGAUUAUGAAUAGCAAUUAUUCAAAUGAUAACAUAUAUGAUAUAUUGCGAAUUCAUUAAGUGUACCAAGAAAUUUUAUAAUUAUUUAUAUAUAUUUUAGUUAUGUUAUAGACUUACUAAGCUAUAAAAGCUUACUUUGUUUGUUUAUGUCUUUCUGGUUUUUUUUUUAGACUUAAAGAUCAAGCUUCAAAUUCGGGGAUCGUCAGCAAGGUCAUCACUCUAUCUACUGUCUCGGUAUUAAAAUGUUUAAAUUUUAACUUAUGGCAUGUAUAGGCUAGAUAAUGUUUUGAAGGUCGUACUUCUAUAUAUAUUGUAUAUGAUAUUAAUAGCCAUAUGAAAAUGGCUUAUUUUCUUAUGGUUUAUUUGUAUUGUGAUGUCUUUAUUUUGUUUAAAUUGGUCAAAACAGAAGCUUAAAAUUUUGCAUGUUUAAUAUUAGACCUAGUUUAUUAUAUGUAACUGUAAAAAAAAUUGAACUUUAAUGAAUGUUUGUUUUGAUUUGUGUUUUGAUUAGUAAUGCCUCUUAACCCUAAUUCGGCGACAGAUACGGGUUAGGGGUGUUACAAUGUUAGCAUAAGUUAGGCAAGUUUUGGUUAUCAUUUGAAUGUCACAAAGUAUGCAUUAUUCGUGAAAGUGCAUUAGUGCCUCAAGACAUCAGGAGCAUCUCUCGAGACAUCAAGAACAAAAAUGACUAUUUCAUGCCUUUCUAAAUAAUUGUCCCGAGAUAUAUUGAACAUGGAUCAAGAUAUAAAUUGUCUGGUUUUAAGGCAUGAGGCCCAUUGUCUCAAGACAGGAAAUAUCGAAGCUAAAGGUCUAAAAUAGGGGAGCUAAUCUUAAGACAUGUCUCGAGACACAAGGGUAAUUCUCUCGAGACAAUUAAUUUUGAAAGUAGAGGUUGAAAAUAGGAGAAACAUGUCUAGAGACAUGGCUUCAUUGUCUCAAGACACACUAUUGAAUUUUGAUAAAUCGAGUUUGGAUUCGCAUCCUAACUCUACGCUUGACCCCAUACUACCUCAGGUCAUAUGGGCCAAUCCAUCAUGAUUAAAUGAGAAACAUUAGCAUAGUAAGAAAAUAUUAAAUUAUGCCAUGUUUUCCACUUAAAGUCAAUGAAAAGAAUUGAGAUGGUCCACAUUCGUAAUGUGACACCUUGUACUCAAAUCCGGUGAUCAAAUUCAAUGUGAGGUGUUACAUCUGUAGUUGAUAUGUCCCAAGUCUGUGAUGCCACAAUUCUAAGUCACGAAUGAAAGAUUUGCCGCAUGUAGUUUGGCUGAUCACUCUACAGUAGUUGUGAAGUGACCUUGCCCCUUUCAUUAAGGACCUUUUUUUUUAAUGUAUAACCUCAUAACCAUAUUUGAUGAAGUUGACACGGUAUCCUUGGUUACAUAAUUUAUUAAUGGUAAUUAAAAUAGCCUUAAGUCUCUCCAUCAAGUGAACAUUUUUAGCUUAGGGAUUCCUAAAUAUUGAGAAUGUCUCUCCCAAAUAUUUUACUUUUCCUGCCAUUACCCAAUGUGACAUUUUUUACAUUGUAAGUAUUUCAAAUAAUGUUUAUUACCUAUCAUGUGUCGAGAACAACCAUUCUCAAAGUAUUAGAUCUUUUUAGUGAUGGCAUUUAAGGAAGUAUGGACCAUUGAUGGGUGUUGAGAACAUCAAAAAUAAAUUAAAUUUGCAGUAUAGAGAAUAGAGUAGAUCUCAUAAAGAUUGAACCGAUUGAUUUUAUUAAAGUUGUCUAAACUGAUGACCAAACUGAUAAGACCAUCAAAAUCAACUUAAACUAAAAUUGAAAAAUAGAAUCAAUGUAUUAUUAAGUAAUGAAAUUGUAUAGAGUACUUAUUGUACAUAAACAACGGUGAUGAGUAAUUAUUAAGUAUUAAAUUUAACUCAUAAUAUAGUCUUCUUUUUUCUAAACAACAGUGAUGACGAAUUAUUAGAAUUAUUAGGUACUAAAUUUAACUCAUAAUAUAAUCUUCUUUUUUCUAUCAAUGAAAACGAGGAGGAAUGCUUUGUUCAUGCUUGAAGAAAUUCUUUGGAUCAGUCUUCGUCUUGACAUAAACAAGCCUAUCAAAAUUAUUCUUGAAAUAUUUACGUCCCCAAAUGCUUGCCUGCUUAUAACUUGUCUUGCCAUAGUAAUUAUUCCUCCCGAUGUCGAGAUCUCUGUAAUUAAGAUACACUUCUCGUGGAGAUUUCGAAACAAAAGGACCCAUGUAGCUAUAAAGUUUCCUCAUCCAGCUUAUAUACCUUUGAGAAUUAUUGCUUUCCUCCUCUAGCCAACCAAUAUUGUAGUAUAUCUUGUAUAAGGUGCCUUUUCGAUGUGGAAAUGGAGUUUCUGUCUCUGAGAUUUCCUCCAUUAUUCCACCGUAAGCAAUAAAGUAGUGAACUCCUAUGCCUCCUUCGUCGACCUCGAGAAGUUGGGGCCAUAGCCCUUGUAAUGCUAUUUCAGGCAUUGGUUUCCUCACGUAAUCAGAUUUUGAUUUGAAUGAAGGAGGAAGAAUGGAAUACCUGUUGCUCCUAUCGAGCAAAAUCUCCGAUGUUUCAUUUGAAGCUCCGUUCAAUAACAAUAGAGAUUCGAUCCAAGUCAUCUCAAUAAAAUCUUCCUUAACGUGUCCAAGCUCCGGAAAUCGUUCUUGCAUCAAUGGAAUAAAAUCAUUGGCACCACCUUGGAACAAUGAAAUAAAGGUGGCAAGAACCGUCUUUGUCCUAUUUUCACUGGCGUUCGUCGUUGAUAUCGUAACGACUGAGUAUACAUCAUUCGGAAGAUUGGGUGCAACGUAUUGCCAACGAUGAAGAAGCUGUGUUGCAUUUUGUUCCAAGGUCCUGCCCACUGAGAAAACAGUCACAGUUGAAGGAACAUGAACCAGCUUUAUUUUCCAUGAAAUGACGAUCCCAAAGCUUCCCCCUCCGCCACCUCGAAUGGCCCAAAACAGAUCUUCACCCAUCGAUCUUCUAUCAAGAACUCUUCCAUUAGCAUCGACCAACUGCGCAUCGAUCACGUUAUCCGCCGAGAGACCAUAUUUUCGGAACAAUAAACCAUCGCCUCCACCGCUAAUCGACCCACCAAUUCCUACAGUGCGGCCAACAGCUGCUGGGAAGGUAAGGUUCGUGCUUCUUUCAUUGAUUCUGUAGUAUACUUCACCCAC
RNAcentral lists this long non-coding RNA (22870 nucleotides) under Gossypium barbadense (sea-island cotton). RNAcentral's name for it is "long non-coding RNA (GBAR_LNC013872)". Lineage: Eukaryota; Viridiplantae; Streptophyta; Magnoliopsida; Malvales; Malvaceae. The record is from RNAcentral.